RNAcentral lists this ribosomal RNA (492 nucleotides) under uncultured bacterium. Its description in RNAcentral is "partial 16S ribosomal RNA". It matches the Rfam family "Bacterial small subunit ribosomal RNA", at positions 29 to 507 of the family's 1533-position model. The record is from RNAcentral.
AGUGAACGCUGGCGGUAGGCCUAACACAUGCAAGUCGAACGGCAGCACAGUAAAAGCUUGCUCUUACGGGUGGCGAGUGGCGGACGGGUGAGGAAUAUAUCGGAAUCUACUUUUUCGUGGGGGAUAACGUAGGGAAACUUACGCUAAUACCGCAUACGACCUACGGGUGAAAGCAGGGGAUCUUCGGACCUUGCGCGAUUGAAUGAGCCGAUGUCGGAUUAGCUAGUUGGCGGGGUAAAGGCCCACCAAGGCGACGAUCCGUAGCUGGUCUGAGAGGAUGAUCAGCCACACUGGAACUGAGACACGGUCCAGACUCCUACGGGAGGCAGCAGUGGGGAAUAUUGGACAACGGGCGCAAGCCUGAUCCAGCCAUACCGCGUGGGUGAAGAAGGCCUUCGGGUUGUAAAGCCCUUUUGUUGGGAAAGAAAAGCAGCAGGUUAAUACCCCGCUGUUCUGACGGUACCCAAAGAAUAAGCACCGGCUAACUUCGUG